Triticum urartu is the source of this 2016-nucleotide non-coding RNA. The record is from RefSeq and is a predicted model, not a curated record. Lineage: Eukaryota; Viridiplantae; Streptophyta; Magnoliopsida; Poales; Poaceae.
CUAACCCGCCCCGCCGUUAAAAAAAAAGAGAAGAAAACCGUGAGCACGAUCUCUCCCCCGUCCGCAGGACCUCUCGCCCCCGCCUUCUCCGGCGCCGUUCGCCGCCCGCGGUUUGCCGCCCAUCGCGCCCUUCGCCGCGGGACAGCCGGAGCCGCCGCCCGUCGCGCACUGCGGGAGCCGCCGCAGGUUGUCGCUUGUCGCGCCCUUCGCCGCGGGAGAGCCGGAGCCACCGCCCGUCGCGCGCCGGAGGAGCCACCGCAGGUCGCCGCGGGAGAGCCGGGGCCGCCGCGAUCGUGAGCAGCCGCCCGCCCAUCCUCCAUCCCUACGCGGGCGCACCUUCCUUCAGCUCCUCCUCGCGCCGCCCCUCUCCUUUGCCCCGGCCGCCAAGACCCAGCGGUCGCUUCACCGGGUUGCGGCGCCGCCCCGCCCGAUAGCCUCCUAGCGGCCGCCUGCCGCCAUCCGCGCAGACUGCUUCACCGACGCCCGCGGCCGCUUCACCGGGCCACGGCGUCGCCCGCCCAUCCCUGUGUGUGCGACGGCUGAAAAUUUCGAUCUGCGAUGGUGCGCGGAGAUCAAGCGAUGACGGCAACAGCGUCGAGCUUUGCAGAUUUCAGCUAGAGCUUGCAGAGUUCUAAAAUAUGUUGACCAAAUCGUUUCUUCAAAACCUGGUUCACAAAUACUAUGAUCUUGCUACUAGCUUCUAUGAGUGUGGCUGGACUGAAUCCUUCCACUUUGCUCAUAGCAUUUUAGGUGGAAUGGUGAACCUUGAAGCAGAAGUACCAAACGGUACGAGCACUUUCUGGCCCUAUAGCUUGAGUUGAAGCCUGGGAUGAAGGUCGUUUUUCUUAUGAAGAUCGAAUAACCCAUGGUUUUGGAUGUCAGGUAUGGAAUAGGCAGGCCAUUAAGAGAAAUUCCAAGAUUUAGGUUUAAUUCCUGUUUCGCGCUUUCACCUCUCUUCAUACGUGUGAAUACUGAUGUGUUCGGGUUUAGACAUUCUCAUAUGCGUGAUUAACGCAACUGAAGUGAUUCAUGUUUUUCUUACUUUCAACUGAAAACUUGUGGGGGCAUGAUUUUGAGGAGGCGAUCCAGAGCACCAAUAAGUUAGAGAAGUUCGACCUCAACCUUUCCAGGAAUUAAUCUAUUUUGGAACGGAGCUCCACCUCAGUUACUGAUUGAACAACAACGACUACCAAAUAACUAGGGAAAGGUCGCCACCAAGAACGGGUCACUGAUAGUAUCAACAUGGAGGCGUGCCUUAGCCUGGAGCCCAGCAAGAAGAUCAUCGGGAGCUUCGGGACAUUUGAGACGGCCGUUCUCCAUGUGGCCAACGCCAUCCAGCUGCAGGCAUUGCGCCGGCCUCGGCAGGAGUCGGUCAAGCCCAAUUGUAGCAUCUAUUGACCAAUGCAAGCUCCAUCAGGAUGUGCGUAGUGUCCAUAAGUUCCCUUUUGGCCAGUACAUGGAGAAAAAAAACAUGGAAUGGCCAACUUGCAUUUUCACGUCAAGCAUGGCUGAUUAUCAGAGGGCAAGGAAAGAUGGAGUAGCAGAAGCAUUGCUUACGAUGAGUUCAUCGGGUCAACAGUGCACAUUAACAAGCAUUGCCUGCUGUCUGCCGUCGCCUACUUUGACGAGGAUGACAGCGGGUACAUCACCGUUGACCGCUGGAAGAGGUGUGCUGGGAGUACAACACAAGCUGACCGGCAUCGCGACAUCGCCAGGGAGGUCGGCAAUGACAACAUGCGUUCGUAAUGACUUGAAGAAAGCAUAUGAGAAGCGAGUAUAGGAGCUUUAAUAUUAGAGCAACAGGGGAGGAGCAAAUGAUUGAAGGGCUAUCAGCCGUGUAAUAGAAAGCUGAGGAUAACGUCAACAGGUGGAAAACUAUAUUUGGUUGACAUAAUAACACUAGCAAAGGUGAAUAACAAUGUAACAUUAUCUUUUCAUUAGUUGAUCCAUUCAACUUUUGUUUGAUAUGACUGGCAUGAUAUUUGGAUAGGAAAGUUAUUUGUUAACUCCGUAUCA